CCUACGGGGGGCAGCAGUGGGGAAUAUUGGACAAUGGGCGCAAGCCUGAUCCAGCCAUGCCGCGUGGAUGAUGAAGGCCCUAGGGUUGUAAAGUCCUUUCGACGGGGAAGCGGUACCCGUAGAAGAAGCCCCGGCUAACUUCGUGCCAGCAGCCGCGGUAAUACGAAGGGGGCUAGCGUUGCUCGGAAUCACUGGGCGUAAAGCGCACGUAGGCGGACUCUUAAGUCAGGGGUGAAAUCCUGGAGCUCAACUCCAGAACUGCCCUUGAUACUGAGAGCCUUGAGUUCGGGAGAGGUGAGUGGAACUGCGAGUGUAGAGGUGAAAUUCGUAGAUAUUCGCAAGAACACCAGUGGCGAAGGCGGCUCACUGGCCCGUCUGACGCUGAGGUGCGAAAGCGUGGGGAGCAAACAGGAUUAGAUACCCUUGUAGUC
This 431-nucleotide ribosomal RNA is filed under the name uncultured bacterium. RNAcentral's name for it is "partial 16S ribosomal RNA". It matches the Rfam family "Bacterial small subunit ribosomal RNA", at positions 338 to 795 of the family's 1533-position model. The record is from RNAcentral.